UGUAUUUAUGUAUUUAUUUGUUUAUA
Molecule: non-coding RNA, 26 nt
Filed under: Mus musculus (house mouse)
Lineage: Eukaryota; Metazoa; Chordata; Mammalia; Rodentia; Muridae
Source: RNAcentral